RNAcentral lists this ribosomal RNA (389 nucleotides) under Botuliforma sp. RNAcentral's name for it is "partial small subunit ribosomal RNA". It matches the Rfam family "Eukaryotic small subunit ribosomal RNA", at positions 582 to 975 of the family's 1831-position model. The record is from RNAcentral. Lineage: Eukaryota; Cercozoa; Thecofilosea; Ebriacea.
AUUCCAGCUCCAAUAGCGUAUAUUAAAGUUGUUGCGGUUAAAAAGCUCGUAGUUGGAUUUCUGGAAAGGACGACCGGUCCACCCACUGGGUGAGAACAUGGUUCGGCUCGACCAUUUUCUUGGAGAACGCUGCUGCGCUUCAUUGUGUGGGGUGGCAUCCAGGACUUUUACUUUGAAAAAAUUAGAGUGUUUAAAGCAGGCUUUUGCUAUGAAUACAUUAGCAUGGAAUAAUAAUCUAGGACUUCGGUCAUAUUUUGUUGGUUUCUGUAACUGAAGUAAUGAUUGAUAGGGAUAGUUGGGGGUGCUAGUAUUGAGCGGCCAGAGGUGAAAUUCUUGGAUUCGCUCAAGACUAACUUAUGCGAAAGCAUUCACCAAGGAUGUCCUCAUCG